Molecule: long non-coding RNA, 891 nt
Organism: Paramacrobiotus metropolitanus
Lineage: Eukaryota; Metazoa; Tardigrada; Eutardigrada; Parachela; Macrobiotidae
Exons: 2
Source: RefSeq, a predicted model, not a curated record
GGAUGCAUUAUGUUUUCUUGGCUGUUUUCCUACCGUACUACCAGGCCUUUAUUUAAUUUUUUAUUAUUAUUUUAUGUAAACUUAUAAACCAGUGUAUUACGUUUUUGCGCGUAGUAACCAGAUUGAAUUUGUGCAAAAAAAUCAGCCUUUCUAAAACAUUAUUUAAUGUUAUUAAGUAUUAUACGAGGUAGUACUCGUAUGUCCUUCAUAUUCCAGGCCCCCGUUCUCAGUUUAGCGCACUACAAUUCUGACGUUGUGAAACCUGCAGAAGGUUUAUCCUCUCUUUCCACGUACUUCUCAAAAGAACACUCUGAAUUUGUGUUACUGACUAAGGAAAUGAAAAACAACGCAGUCCUUCUGUUACUCUCGUUCUCUAUAUGUUGGAUGGGCGGAUGUGCGGAAGAUACAUUGUGCGCUUUACCUUACCCCUUCCGGUCCGAUCCCCCUCCGCCCCAAAGAAUUAUGAAUGCCAUGUGCCACGUUUACCCGGAUAUGUUCAACAGUCCCCUGGAGACGUGCAAAAACCUGUAUCUACUUGACAAGUCGAUCUUCUCUUAUUUUAUGUGGUGUUGCUCUGUUUGGAGCCGGAACCCGUACUGUGAGAAAAAUCAGUAUCCACCCGCGCGACCACAGAAUAAAAACUAAAAAAAAUGAAUAAAAAUAAAUCAUAUUCUGCACGGACGUGAUAAUAUGUAACUCCGUCAUCGCAGGUACUGUGCGCGAUUUUCGCCAGAAUGGUCACAAUUACCACAGUAAAUUAAGCGGUGAUUCAGUAUACUUUGUAAUCUUCGUCUGUGUUAUUUAUUAUUCGCGUUAAGCCCGUUUUGUAGUCUCUGUCACGACGUUCCCGCAGAGCGUACUACUUUUCAGGUCGAAUAAAGCAUAAAAAGA